Long non-coding RNA from Equus quagga, 844 nucleotides. RefSeq lists it as uncharacterized. Lineage: Eukaryota; Metazoa; Chordata; Mammalia; Perissodactyla; Equidae. The record is from RefSeq and is a predicted model, not a curated record. The transcript is spliced from 3 exons.
CCUGCAAGAUGUGUGGAAAGUCAAGAGGAGCCCAGCCCAACGGUUGUUUUUGACUGGUGACUCUUCAUGCUACUUGUCAUGAUUAUGCCUACCCAGGUAAGAGAGGUACUCCUUUCUGCCUGGAAAAGUUCCUAUGUGGCCUGGAAGAGCAAAUCGCUGUUGAAGUUCAGCAUUUCUGGAGGUCUCAUUGGCUGACUGAGAUCCGUGGAGAUUCAUCAUGGCAUUCCAGGUCUCUGUCAGGGAUUGCUCUUCGUGAGGAGGCGAUGCUGACCCGUGUUGGCUCUGUCAUUAUGUGGACCUGGGUGUUGUUCUUAGUGGCAGAUGCACUCGAUACCAACGAAAGGGAUCUGGAUUAGGCUGAGCUGUGAACUAACUGCUUCAAGAUUCUGAAGCUUAUGCAUCUCACUUCUUUGAAAUCCUUAGCACUCUGGUGUGGUCUCUUCCUCUCCUCAUUACCAAGGAAGCAGGGUUCUCACUCUGGGGCAGCUGCCAUGAACGAAGUCUGGCGAUUCUGAGACCACCACGCUGGAGAGGCCACAUGUGGGUUCUCUAGUCAACAACUCCAGCUGAGCUCUUAGCCCACAGCCAACAUCAACUCCGGCCACAAGAAUGAGCUGUCUUGGAUGCCCAGUCUUCAGAUGACGGCAACCCCAGCCAACAUCUGUCUACAUCUGCAUGAGAAACUCCAGGCAAGAACUUCUCAGCUGAGUCCUUCUCAAAUUUCUGACCCACAAAACCAUGAGCAAGAAAGAAGAUAGGGGAUGUCUACGGACCCAUACAACCAACACCCUCUGCCACGACUGCUUGACUAAAGAAAACUUCUCUUUCUUGCUACCACCAAAGA